GUACUUGCUUCGGCAGCACAUAUAAAAUUGGAAUGAUACAGAGAAGAUUAGCAUGGCCCCUGGGCAAGGAUGACUUGCAAAUUCACGAGGCGUUCAGAAUAAAU
RNAcentral lists this small nuclear RNA (104 nucleotides) under Microcebus murinus (gray mouse lemur). Lineage: Eukaryota; Metazoa; Chordata; Mammalia; Primates; Cheirogaleidae. The record is from RNAcentral.